RNAcentral lists this ribosomal RNA (497 nucleotides) under uncultured bacterium. RNAcentral's name for it is "partial 16S ribosomal RNA". It matches the Rfam family "Bacterial small subunit ribosomal RNA", at positions 28 to 507 of the family's 1533-position model. The record is from RNAcentral.
GAUGAACGCUGGCGGCGUGCCUAAUACAUGCAAGUCGAGCGAACAGACGAGGAGCUUGCUCCUCUGACGUUAGCGGCGGACGUGUGAGUAACACGUGGAUAACCUACCUAUAAUACUGUGAUAACUUCGGGAAACCGUAGCUAAUACCGUAUAAUAUAUUGAACCGCAUGGUUCAAUAGUUAAAGACGGUUUUGCUGUCACUUAUAGAUUGAUCCGCGCCUCAUUAGCUAGUUGGUAAGGUAACGGCUUACCAAGUGGACGAUGGGUAGCCGACCUGAGAGGGUGACCGGCCACACUGGAACUGAGACACGGUCCAGACUCCUACGGGAGGCAGCAGUAGGGAAUCUUGGGCAAUGGGCGAAAGCCUGACGGAGCAAAGCCGCGUGAGGGAAGAAGGUCUUCGGAUCGUAAAACUCUGUUGUUAGGGAAGAAAAAAUGUGGAAGUAAAUAUGCAGGUAAUGACGGUACCGAAUGAGAAAGCAACGGCUAACUACGUG